CCUACGGGAGGCAGCAGUCGAGAAUCAUUCACAAUGGGGGAAACCCUGAUGGUGCGACGCCGCGUGGGGGAAUGAAGGUCUUCGGAUUGUAAACCCCUGUCAUGUGGGAGCAAAUUAAAAAGAUAGUACCACAAGAGGAAGAGACGGCUAACUCUGUGCCAGCAGCCGCGGUAAUACAGAGGUCUCAAGCGUUGUUCGGAAUCACUGGGCGUAAAGCGUGCGUAGACUGUUUCGUAAGUCGUGUGUGAAAGGCGCGGGCUCAACCCGCGGACGGCACAUGAUACUGCGAGACUAGAGUAAGGGAGGGGGAACCGGAAUUCUCGGUGUAGCAGUGAAAUGCGUAGAUAUCGAGAGGAACACUCGUGGCGAAGGCGGGUUCCUGGACAUUAACUGACGCUGAGGCACGAAGGCCAGGGGAGCGAAAGGGAUUAGAUACCCCAGUAGUC
This 446-nucleotide ribosomal RNA is filed under the name uncultured bacterium. Its description in RNAcentral is "partial 16S ribosomal RNA". It matches the Rfam family "Bacterial small subunit ribosomal RNA", at positions 338 to 795 of the family's 1533-position model. The record is from RNAcentral.